This 89-nucleotide transfer RNA is filed under the name Trebonia kvetii. It matches the Rfam family "tRNA". From Rfam's summary of the family: Transfer RNA (tRNA) molecules are approximately 80 nucleotides in length. The record is from Rfam by way of RNAcentral. Lineage: Bacteria; Bacillati; Actinomycetota; Actinomycetes; Streptosporangiales; Treboniaceae.
GGAGGGCUCGCCUAGUGGCCGAUGGCGGUUGUCUUGAAAACAACUAGGUCGGGAGACCGACCUCGUGGGUUCGAAUCCCACGCCCUCCG